AUACGUAGGGGGCGAGCGUUGUCCGGAAUGAUUGGGCGUAAAGGGCGCGUAGGCGGCCCGGUAAGUCUGGAGUGAAAGUCCUGCUUUUAAGGUGGGAAUUGCUUUGGAUACUGUAGGGCUUGAGUGCAGGAGAGGUAAGUGGAAUUCCCAGUGCAGCGGUGAAAUGCGUAGAGAUUGGGAGGAACACCAGUGGCGAAGGCGACUUACUGGACUGUAACUGACGCUGAGGCGCGAAAGUGUGGGGAGCAAACAGGAUUAGAUACCCUGGUAGUCCACACUGUAAACGAUGAAUGCUAGGUGUAGGGGGUAUCGACCCCUUCUGUGCCGCAGUAAACACAAUAAGCAUUCCGCCUGGGGAGUACGGCCGCAAGGUUGAAACUCAAAGGAAUUGACGGGG
This 397-nucleotide ribosomal RNA is filed under the name uncultured bacterium. Its description in RNAcentral is "partial 16S ribosomal RNA". It matches the Rfam family "Bacterial small subunit ribosomal RNA", at positions 523 to 918 of the family's 1533-position model. The record is from RNAcentral.